GACGAACGCUGGCGGCGUGCCUAAUACAUGCAAGUCGAGCGGACCAAAGGGAGCUUGCUCCUGGAGGUUAGCGGCGAACGGGUGAGUAACACGUGGGCAACCUGCCUGUAAGACUGGGAUAACAUCGAGAAAUCGGUGCUAAUACCGGAUAAUAAAAAGAACUGCAUGGUUCUUUUUGAAAGAUGGUUUCGGCUAUCACUUACAGAUGGGCCCGCGGCGCAUUAGCUAGUUGGUGAGGUAACGGCUCACCAAGGCGACGAUGCGUAGCCGACCUGAGAGGGUGAUCGGCCACACUGGGACUGAGGCACGGCCCAGACUCCUACGGGAGGCAGCAGUAGGGAAUCUUCCGCAAUGGACGAAAGUCUGACGGAGCAACGCCGCGUGAGUGAUGAAGGUUUUCGGAUCGUAAAACUCUGUUGUUAGGGAAGAACAAGUGCCGUUCGAAAGGGCGGCACCUUGACGGUACCUAACGAGAAAGCCACGGCUAACUACGUGCCAGCAGCCGCGGUAAAGU
This 514-nucleotide ribosomal RNA is filed under the name uncultured bacterium. RNAcentral describes it as "bacterial SSU rRNA". It matches the Rfam family "Bacterial small subunit ribosomal RNA", at positions 28 to 526 of the family's 1533-position model. The record is from RNAcentral.